This is a long non-coding RNA of Dreissena polymorpha, 2545 nucleotides long. RefSeq lists it as uncharacterized. The transcript is spliced from 4 exons. Lineage: Eukaryota; Metazoa; Mollusca; Bivalvia; Myida; Dreissenidae. The record is from RefSeq and is a predicted model, not a curated record.
CAACAACAACAACAACAAAUAUGGCGGAAUCUGUAUUGUCAAACACGGAAGAAGAAGGAUACAACCAUAAUUAAACCAAGAAGUUUAUGAAGAAGGGAUCACUGGAUUUUGUCACUUUGGUACAAGAAACAGAAAAGGAUAUCAUAGACCACCUUACUUAUACGGAAGCAUAGGAGCUGUUGAAGGAAAUUGCUGCCAGACAGUCAGCAGUUAUCACUGACAGCCUGUCCUGGCCCAGCUUGGACCAUCCUCAAGCUUACCAUGAUGGUGUGUUUGCAAGAAUUGUCCAUUUGGUAGACCAUGAUGAAGACCAGCUUUGUUGUGGCAUGGCCUGACAAUACUGUACAAGCCAGAGACCAAAAAAGGGUUUAGUGGUGACUGAUCCUCUCACCCUCCUUAUCCAGGAAACAUUUCGGAACAACGUGUUGGCACUGAAGAUGUGGAGGACACAGAUUGAUCACAGUACAUCCUUUGGAUACAUGGACACCUUCAACGUGACGACAACAAAACUGUACCUGCCUUUUUUUGAAAGGAAGUAGUUAAUAAAAUUAUUGUUAACAGCUUUUUUAGUCUUGUUGUUUAAGAAUGCUUGCAACAUUUAAGUCGAUAAACGGUUGUUUUAAAUUUGAAUCUUCAGUAAUGCAUUCUUUAUUAAAUGAUGUAAUCUUAUUUCUUUCAAUAUAGUGUAAAUAAUAAGAACAUAAUUAUCCUUUGUAUACAAAAUGAAAACCAAGUUUACUGUUCUAUUAAUCAUUAUUUAUUUAUCUUGUUCUUUUGUCAGAAAUAUUACAGGGGCAUACAUACAGUAUUCCUUAAAUAAAAGGGGCAGUUCUUAGAAAAUUAACAUGUAUUUUAGCAAUGCAUAUUCAAACUUUUUCCACAUUUAUAACCAGCAACAAUAUGUAAGUAGUAUAAUGUAACACAAAUUAAUACUAUAAAUUUACUACUGAUUUUGCCGUGCCUGUCAUCAAACAUGUUUGACUGAAAGUUUCUUAAAAGAUGUUAUGUGGAAGACUAAAUCAAUCAUUUAAUAAAUAUUUGAGCCACGCUCUGGGAAAAGGGGGUUUAAUGCAUGUACUUAAGGUUGUCCAAGAUUAGGCUGUGCAGACUGCACAGGCUAAUCAGGGGCAACACUUUCCGCCUUAUCUGGAUUUUCUCUAAGAGACUCCAUUUCAACAAAAAAUACAAUAAAGCAGCAAUUGUCUGCCUGAUUGGUAUUAUCAGCACAUGUUAAUCUCGUACGACAAUUUACGCAGAUGAAUUAAGCCCCAUUUUCCCAGGGCAAGGCUCACCUAUUUAGGUUUUAGCUGUCUAUAUGCUCUUUAACUUUUGAAUCAUGAUGCAGUUUCAUAUAAUAAUGUAUUAUGAGUUGUUUUAAAUUGAUGCAUAUUCUUUUGUUCAGUGUUGAACUCAACAUGUAUUAUAAUAAGGUGUUCACUUAACAUUCUUGCAGUAAUGUUUUGCUGUGUAAUAUACAUGUAAUAAUAAAUCAAAAUUGAACAACUAGCUUCUUAUUUCUUCAUGUUAUUUAUUAAAACAUUUUAAACCAAAACAACAAAAUCCAUCACAUAAUGAACACAAAACAUAAUACUUUAUAUUCAUGAAACAAAACUAUAAUUGAUAACAUUUUGAAUAAAUGUUUCCAACUUUCAACAUUUGACAGAUCAAAUUAUUUCUGAAUUCCACCAAUUUUUUAUUUAUGGAUAAACAGCACUUUAUCAUCUUUAUGACAGUUUAUGUAAGGCUUUUACAAUAAAUGGUUGUUUAUAGACUGAUAAACAAUGGAAAACAAUACAUAAUCUAUAUAAAGCAUUGUGCUUUGAUGUCAUUGUUAAUGGAACAUAAACAAAUGUGGUGUGCAGCACACACUCAACAUUGACUAUGGUAGCUUAUACCUAAAAGAGUCAAUAAUUCCUGUUCAUAGUCUUUACUUGUGACAAAAAAUCAGGAAAACGCUGAGCCCAGUGUUUAUUUAGCUAUUUGCCAAACAAGGUUUUCACAAAUUCUUCUGUUUCAGAGUGACCUAUAUCAAAUACUUUGGAUCCUCUAUUGUAAUAACAAAACAAUUAAUUCACCAUGUUUGAUCAUGGGUUUCCCAUAAAAAACUUAACACAAAUCAUGAAACAUAACACCUAUAAGAGUCAACAAUUCCUGUUAAUAGUCUUGACUUAUGAAAAAAAAAAUCUGGAACUUGGCCCAUUAUUUAUGUAGUUAUUUGCCAGACUUAUUCUUCUUUUUCAGAGUAAUCUAUGAUUGUAUACUUUGGAUCCUAUAUUUUUAUAACAAAACAAUUAACAAAAUUCACAAUACCUUACACACUUAAAACUCAACUACAUAUUCUCAUGGCAUUUAAGGGCACUUGUAUGCUAUGUUCAUCAGUAUUUUAUCAAUGAUAUUUCUGCCCUAUGUUUAUAAGCAGUUCACUUAUUAAAAUCACAUUUUAUCACCAUGAUGAUGACAGGACAGUCGACCAUAAUGCCACACAUUUGGUCACGCCUUCAUAUUACACAAAUAAAUUCAAGCAUCAUUUCAAACACUAAAGUCA